CAGCGAGGAAGAGGACGCGCGCGCAUGGUAAGGUCCCGGUCGCAAAUCUUCAUUUCUUCUGCGACCCGCGCGGGACGCUGACGGUGACGUCACUCACAGCCGCCGCCAGGGAGAAGGAGCAAGGCAUGGGCCGGGAGGAGGAUGAGGAUCUGCUGACAAUGUGAGGAGCCUAUGAUGUCCGGGUGUCAGACUCUGCAGAGAAGAUGGUGCUGGAAGAAGUCCUGGCGUCUGGACCAGAUAAAGAAGGAAAGGAAAGACAACAGAGAAGACAUCACUCAGGUCACUGAUAUAAUUGUGUGUUCUCCUGACUGUCCCAUCAGCUCUUACAGUCACUUGUAAGUUUCGUAGUGAUGAUGGGUGACAAUUUACCCC
This is a long non-coding RNA of Hyla sarda, 372 nucleotides long. RefSeq lists it as uncharacterized. The record is from RefSeq and is a predicted model, not a curated record. NCBI's taxonomy places the organism in Eukaryota, Metazoa, Chordata, Amphibia, Anura, Hylidae. The transcript has 3 exons.